RNAcentral lists this ribosomal RNA (418 nucleotides) under uncultured bacterium. RNAcentral describes it as "bacterial SSU rRNA". It matches the Rfam family "Bacterial small subunit ribosomal RNA", at positions 356 to 772 of the family's 1533-position model. The record is from RNAcentral.
AGGGAAUAUUGGUCAAUGGAUGCAAGUCUGAACCAGCCAUGCCGCGUGCAGGAAGAAGGCCUUCUGGGUUGUAAACUGCUUUUGCCAGGGGAUAAAACGAGCAUGCGUGCUUAAUUGAAGGUACCUGGUGAAUAAGCCACGGCUAACUACGUGCCAGCAGCCGCGGUAAUACGUAGGUGGCAAGCGUUGUCCGGAUUUAUUGGGUUUAAAGGGUGCGUAGGCGGUCCUAUAAGUCAGUGCUGAAAUAUCCCGGCUUAACCGGGAGGGUGGCAUUGAUACUGAAGUGCUUGAGUGGAGUCGAGGUAGGCGGAAUUGACGGUGUAGCGGUGCAAUGCUUAGAUAUCGUCAAGAACACCGAUAGUGUAGACAGCUUACUAGGCUUCAACUGACGCUGAGGCACGAAAGUGUGGGGAUCAAA